RNAcentral lists this ribosomal RNA (929 nucleotides) under Arthrobacter sp. RNAcentral describes it as "bacterial SSU rRNA". It matches the Rfam family "Bacterial small subunit ribosomal RNA", at positions 554 to 1481 of the family's 1533-position model. Lineage: Bacteria; Bacillati; Actinomycetota; Actinomycetes; Micrococcales; Micrococcaceae. The record is from RNAcentral.
UUGGGCGUAAGAGCUCGUAGGCGGUUUGUCGCGUCUGCUGUGAAAGACCGGGGCUCAACUCCGGUUCUGCAGUGGGUACGGGCAGACUAGAGUGCAGUAGGGGAGACUGGAAUUCCUGGUGUAGCGGUGAAAUGCGCAGAUAUCAGGAGGAACACCGAUGGCGAAGGCAGGUCUCUGGGCUGUAACUGACGCUGAGGAGCGAAAGCAUGGGGAGCGAACAGGAUUAGAUACCCUGGUAGUCCAUGCCGUAAACGUUGGGCACUAGGUGUGGGGGACAUUCCACGUUUUCCGCGCCGUAGCUAACGCAUUAAGUGCCCCGCCUGGGGAGUACGGCCGCAAGGCUAAAACUCAAAGGAAUUGACGGGGGCCCGCACAAGCGGCGGAGCAUGCGGAUUAAUUCGAUGCAACGCGAAGAACCUUACCAAGGCUUGACAUGAACCGGAAAGACCUGGAAACAGGUGCCCCGCUUGCGGUCGGUUUACAGGUGGUGCAUGGUUGUCGUCAGCUCGUGUCGUGAGAUGUUGGGUUAAGUCCCGCAACGAGCGCAACCCUCGUUCUAUGUUGCCAGCGCGUUAUGGCGGGGACUCAUAGGAGACUGCCGGGGUCAACUCGGAGGAAGGUGGGGACGACGUCAAAUCAUCAUGCCCCUUAUGUCUUGGGCUUCACGCAUGCUACAAUGGCCGGUACAAAGGGUUGCGAUACUGUGAGGUGGAGCUAAUCCCAAAAAGCCGGUCUCAGUUCGGAUUGGGGUCUGCAACUCGACCCCAUGAAGUCGGAGUCGCUAGUAAUCGCAGAUCAGCAACGCUGCGGUGAAUACGUUCCCGGGCCUUGUACACACCGCCCGUCAAGUCACGAAAGUUGGUAACACCCGAAGCCGGUGGCCUAACCCUUGUGGGGGGAGCCGUCGAAGUGGGACCGGCGAUUGGGAC